RNAcentral lists this ribosomal RNA (460 nucleotides) under uncultured bacterium. RNAcentral describes it as "partial 16S ribosomal RNA". It matches the Rfam family "Bacterial small subunit ribosomal RNA", at positions 338 to 795 of the family's 1533-position model. The record is from RNAcentral.
CCUACGGGAGGCAGCAGUGAGGAAUAUUGGUCAAUGGACGAGAGUCUGAACCAGCCAAGUAGCGUGAAGGAUGACUGCCCUAUGGGUUGUAAACUUCUUUUAUAUGGGAGUAAAAUGUUCCACGUGUGGGUUUUUGUAUGUACCAUAUGAAUAAGGAUCGGCUAACUCCGUGCCAGCAGCCGCAGUAAUACGGAGGAUCCGAGCGUUAUCCGGAUUUAUUGGGUUUAAAGGGAGCGUAGGUGGAUUGUAAAGUCAGUUGUGAAAGUUUGCGGCUCAACCGUAAAAUUGCAGUUGAAACUGGCAGUCUUGAGUACAGUAGAGGUUGGCGGAAUUCGUGGUGUAGCGGUGAAAUGCUUAGAUAUCACGAAGAACUCCGAUUGCGAAGGCAGCUCACUAGACUGCCACUGACACUGAGGCUCGAAAGUGUGGGUAUCAAACAGGAUUAGAUACCCCUGUAGUC